ACGGCCAGGACAUGCUCGAGGUGGCCAAGCUCGCCAACAUCUUGCCGUGCGUCGCAACCCCGGAGUACCGCGACUGGCCCACCGCGCACCACACCGCCUUGGUGCUCGGCGCCGCGAACGGGUACAAGGGGAUCCUGCUGGAGGGUAAGCCCGGGCAGGUUGGUAAGGGCGGGGUGUUGGAGGAGGGCGCGCUCGCGGACCUGUCCUCCUGGGACCUCACCGCCCUCUCCAUGCUCCCCCGAACCGACCCGCUGAGCCUCCUGGUGCAGGGCAGCCGGACGCAGGCGCCGGGGGCCGGAUCCGCGCUGGACUGCGCGUGGGUCAACGGCGUGCGGGUCGUCCAGGGCGGUUCGCCGGUCAACGUCGACGUCAAAGCCCUGCGCGAGGUGCUGCGAGCCGCGCAGGGUACGUAC
This 413-nucleotide long non-coding RNA is filed under the name Micromonas commoda. Its description in RNAcentral is "long non-coding RNA (MCOM_LNC000169)". The record is from RNAcentral. Lineage: Eukaryota; Viridiplantae; Chlorophyta; Mamiellophyceae; Mamiellales; Mamiellaceae.